UGGGGAAUCUUCCGCAAUGGACGAAAGUCUGACGGAGCAACGCCGCGUGUAUGAUGAAGGUCUUCGGAUUGUAAAGUACUGUCAUUGGGGAAGAACGGUUUUCUUGAAAAGAUUGAGAAGACAUGACGGUACCCAAGGAGGAAGCCCCGGCUAACUACGUGCCAGCAGCCGCGGUAAUACGUAGGGGGCAAGCGUUGUCCGGAAUUAUUGGGCGUAAAGGGCGCGUAGGCGGGCCUUUAAGUCCGGUGUGAAAGAUCAGGGCUCAACCCUGAGAGUGCAUCGGAAACUGGAGGCCUUGAGGACAGGAGAGGAAAGUGGAAUUCCACGUGUAGCGGUGAAAUGCGUAGAUAUGUGGAGGAACACCAGUGGCGAAGGCGACUUUCUGGACUGUAACUGACGCUGAGGCGCGAAAGCGUGGGGAGCAAACAGGAUUAGAUACCCUGGUAGUCA
Molecule: ribosomal RNA, 450 nt
Filed under: uncultured bacterium
Lineage: Bacteria
Description: partial 16S ribosomal RNA
Rfam family: Bacterial small subunit ribosomal RNA
Source: RNAcentral